UGCGAAGGUUGGGAGGAUGGUGAGCUAGUCAUAAGGCUUUAGGCAUGGAGUUGUUUAGCUCGGGAUUUGGGUUUGAUAGAGGGAUUUUGAUGGAGUGUUUUGCAAAGGUUUUGGGUGGCCAUGCACGCAUGGGUCACAUGCACAUGGGGAGGACCUUCUUAAUGAAGGAUAUUUGAUUGAUUGCAGCUUUCCAAGAUGCCUACAAGAAAAGAGCACCAACAAGAAAGCAAAUUUGAAGUGGACAGUGACGGAAUCUUCUGUACUCAAGAUGAAAACCCACAUAGAACAACAACCAAUUGGUCUAGGAAGCGGACCCAGGUGAAUCCCGUGGUGGAAACCAUGUUAAUAUCGGCUUUAAAGAUGCACCACUAGGAAGCAUAUGAAACAGAAAAGGUGGCCAUGCAAAAGUGAGUCGGAUGUAAUGUCUGAAAGUGCCGAGCAGCAGUAUGGCUUUCUUUCUGAUUAACUGCUUUGUCAAAUUCUAAAGCUCUCAUUCUAAUUAUGCUCUAAUAAGAGAAUAUCAAAUCCAAAUCCA
Molecule: long non-coding RNA, 535 nt
Organism: Vitis vinifera (wine grape)
Lineage: Eukaryota; Viridiplantae; Streptophyta; Magnoliopsida; Vitales; Vitaceae
Exons: 2
Source: RefSeq, a predicted model, not a curated record